GAUGAACGCUAGCGGCAGGCCUAACACAUGCAAGUCGAGGGGCAGCACAGAAACAGCAAUGUUUUGGUGGCGACCGGCGGACGGGUGCGUAACGCGUAUGCAACCUACCUUUAACAGGGGGAUAACGGAGAGAAAUUUCCACUAAUACCCCAUAACAUCGAUCAAGGCAUCUUGAUUGGUUGAGAACUCCGGUGGUUAAAGAUGGGCAUGCGUUGUAUUAGGUAGUUGGUGAGGUAAUGGCUCACCAAGCCUACGAUACAUAGGGGGACUGAGAGGUAGCCCCCCACACUGGUACUGAGACACGGACCAGACUCCUACGGGAGGCAGCAGUGAGGAAUAUUGGUCAAUGGGGGCAACCCUGAACCAGCCAUGCCGCGUGCAGGAAGACGGCUCUAUGAGUUGUAAACUGCUUUUAAACAGGGAUAAAGCACAGUAUGUAUACUGUGUUGAAGGUACUGUAAGAAUAAGGAUCGGCUAACUCCGUGCCAGCAGCCGCGGUAA
This 501-nucleotide ribosomal RNA is filed under the name uncultured bacterium. Its description in RNAcentral is "partial 16S ribosomal RNA". It matches the Rfam family "Bacterial small subunit ribosomal RNA", at positions 28 to 523 of the family's 1533-position model. The record is from RNAcentral.